UCUAGUGAAACGUAAUUUUAA
This 21-nucleotide non-coding RNA is filed under the name Caenorhabditis elegans. The record is from RNAcentral. Lineage: Eukaryota; Metazoa; Nematoda; Chromadorea; Rhabditida; Rhabditidae.